CCUACGGGAGGCAGCAGUGGGGAAUAUUGCACAAUGGGGGAAACCCUGAUGCAGCGACGCCGCGUGAGUGAAGAAGUAUUUCGGUAUGUAAAGCUCUAUCAGCCGGGAAGAAAAUGACGGUACCUGACUAAGAAGCCCCGGCUAACUACGUGACAACAGCCGCGGUAAGACGUCGGGGGCAAGCGUUAUCCGGAUGUACCGGGGGUUACGGGAGAGUAGACGGCAGCGCAAGUCUGGAGUGAAAUGCCAUGGCUUAACCAUGGAACUGCUGUGGAAACUGUGCAGCUAGAGUGCAGGAGAGGUAAGCGGAAUUCCUAGUGUAGCGGUGAAAUGCGGAGAUAUUAGGAGGAACACCAGUGGCGAAGGCGGCUUACUGGACUGUAACUGACGUUGAGGCACGAAAGCGUGGGGAGCGAACAGGAUUAGAUACCCGGGUAGUC
RNAcentral lists this ribosomal RNA (440 nucleotides) under uncultured bacterium. RNAcentral describes it as "partial 16S ribosomal RNA". It matches the Rfam family "Bacterial small subunit ribosomal RNA", at positions 338 to 795 of the family's 1533-position model. The record is from RNAcentral.